RNAcentral lists this ribosomal RNA (1023 nucleotides) under uncultured marine bacterium. Its description in RNAcentral is "bacterial SSU rRNA". It matches the Rfam family "Bacterial small subunit ribosomal RNA", at positions 72 to 1092 of the family's 1533-position model. The record is from RNAcentral.
AAGAUAGUUUACUAUUUUGGUGGCGACCGGCGCACGGGUGAGUAACGCGUAUGCAACCUACCUCAUACAGGAGUAUAGCCCGAAGAAAUUCGGAUUAAUCCUCCAUAGUAUUUUCUAAUGGCAUCAUUUGGAAAAUUAAAGCUUCGGCGGUAUAAGAUGGGCAUGCGUCCUAUUAGCUAGAUGGUAAGGUAAAGGCUUACCAUGGCUACGAUAGGUAGGGGGCCUGAGAGGGUGACCCCCCACACUGGUACUGAGACACGGACCAGACUCCUACGGGAGGCAGCAGUGAGGAAUAUUGGGCAAUGGAGGCAACUCUGACCCAGCCAUGCCGCGUACAGGAAGAAUGCCCUAUGGGUUGUAAACUGCUUUUAUUUAGGAAUAAACCCCUCUACGUGUAGAGGGCUGAAGGUACUAAACGAAUAAGCACCGGCUAACUCCGUGCCAGCAGCCGCGGUAAUACGGAGGGUGCAAGCGUUAUCCGGAAUCAUUGGGUUUAAAGGGUCCGCAGGCGGACGUAUAAGUCAGUGGUGAAAUCCUGCAGCUUAACUGCAGAACUGCCAUUGAUACUGUACGUCUUGAAUUCGGUCGAAGUGGGCGGAAUGUGUAGUGUAGCGGUGAAAUGCAUAGAUAUUACACAGAACACCGAUAGCGAAGGCAGCUCACUAGGCCUGGAUUGACGCUCAGGGACGAAAGCGUGGGGAUCAAACAGGAUUAGAUACCCUGGUAGUCCACGCUGUAAACGAUGAUUACUCGUUUUCGGCGAUAUACAGUCGGAGACUAAGCGAAAGUGAUAAGUAAUCCACCUGGGGAGUACGAUCGCAAGGUUGAAACUCAAAGGAAUUGACGGGGGCCCGCACAAGCGGUGGAGCAUGUGGUUUAAUUCGAUGAUACGCGAGGAACCUUACCAGGGCUUAAAUGCAGAGCGAAUAGUUUGGAAACAGACUAGCCUUCGGGCGAUCUGCAUGGUGCUGCAUGGCUGUCGUCAGCUCGUGCCGUGGAGGGGGUUGGGGUUAAGUCCCGCAA